AUAACAUUCGGACCGUCGGUCUACCGAGCAAAUAUCAUCGGCUCGGUGGAAGAUCUUUCUUCUUCUU
This 67-nucleotide microRNA precursor is filed under the name Bombyx mori (domestic silkworm). RNAcentral's name for it is "mir-2774 microRNA precursor family". It matches the Rfam family "mir-2774 microRNA precursor family". Lineage: Eukaryota; Metazoa; Arthropoda; Insecta; Lepidoptera; Bombycidae. The record is from Rfam by way of RNAcentral.